AACGUAGGACGCAAGCGUUAUCCGGAAUUACUGGGCGUAAAGCGCGUGUAGGCGGAUCAUUAAGUCACUGGUGAAAGCACCGGGCUAAACUCGGUGAGGUUCGGUGAGACUGGUGGUCUGGAGUAUGUCAGAGGGGUGCGGAAUUCCGGGUGUAGUGGUGAAAUGCGUAGAGAUCCGGAGGAACACCAGAGGCGAAGGCGGCACCCUGGGACAAAACUGACGCUGAGACGCGAAAGCAUGGGGAGCAAACAGG
RNAcentral lists this ribosomal RNA (253 nucleotides) under uncultured bacterium. RNAcentral's name for it is "partial 16S ribosomal RNA". It matches the Rfam family "Bacterial small subunit ribosomal RNA", at positions 524 to 776 of the family's 1533-position model. The record is from RNAcentral.